This 793-nucleotide ribosomal RNA is filed under the name uncultured bacterium. RNAcentral describes it as "bacterial SSU rRNA". It matches the Rfam family "Bacterial small subunit ribosomal RNA", at positions 8 to 796 of the family's 1533-position model. The record is from RNAcentral.
AGAGUUUGAUCAUGGCUCAGGAUGAACGCUAGCGGCAGGCCUAAUACAUGCAAGUCGAGCGGUAACAGGUGUAGCAAUACAUGCUGACGAGCGGCGCACGGGUGCGUAACACGUAUGCAACUUACCUUUAACUGGAGGAUAGCCGCCCGAAAGGGUGAUUAAUACUCCAUAACAUUAUGAAACAGCAUUGUUUUAUAAUUAAAGCUCCGGUGGUUAAAGAUGGGCAUGCGUCCGAUUAGCUAGUUGGCGAGGUAAAAGCUCACCAAGGCUACGAUCGGUAGGGGUUCUGAGAGGAUAUACCCCCACACUGGUACUGAGACACGGACCAGACUCCUACGGGAGGCAGCAGUAAGGAAUAUUGGACAAUGGAGGCAACUCUGAUCCAGCCAUGCCGCGUGAAGGAUGAAGGUGCUAUGCAUUGUAAACUUCUUUUGAACGGGAGAAAACCCUCGGUCGCGCACCGAGGCUGAUAGUACCGUUAGAAUAAGGGUCGGCUAACUUCGUGCCAGCAGCCGCGGUAAUACGAAGGACCCGAGCGUUAUCCGGAUUUAUUGGGUUUAAAGGGUGCGUAGGCGGAACGGUAAGUCAGUGGUGAAAGCCUGUUGCUUAACAACAGAACUGCCAUCGAUACUGCUGAUCUUGAGUACAUAUGAUGUGGGCGGAAUGUGCCUGUAGCGGUGAAAUGCUUAGAUAUGGCACAGAACACCGAUUGCGAAGGCAGCUCACAAAACUGUUACUGACGCUGAGGCACGAAAGCGUGGGGAGCAAACAGGAUUAGAUACCCUAGUAGUCC